CAGCAGCCGCGGUAACACGUAGGGUGCGAGCGUUAAUCGGAAUUACUGGGCGUAAAGUGUGCGCAGGCGGUUUUGUAAGACAGGCGUGAAAUCCCCGGGCUCAACCUGGGAAUGGCGCUUGUGACUGCAAAGCUAGAGUGCGGCAGAGGGGGAUGGAAUUCCGCGUGUAGCAGUGAAAUGCGUAGAUAUGCGGAGGAACACCGAUGGCGAAGGCAAUCCCCUGGGCCUGCACUGACGCUCAUGCACGAAAGCGUGGGGAGCAAACAGGAUUAGAUACCCGUGUAGUCCCUGUCUCUUAUAC
RNAcentral lists this ribosomal RNA (301 nucleotides) under uncultured bacterium. Its description in RNAcentral is "partial 16S ribosomal RNA". It matches the Rfam family "Bacterial small subunit ribosomal RNA", at positions 509 to 807 of the family's 1533-position model. The record is from RNAcentral.